This 66-nucleotide transfer RNA is filed under the name Daphnia pulex (common water flea). RNAcentral's name for it is "tRNA-Pro". RNAcentral also lists the same sequence under 1 other name. The record is from RNAcentral. Lineage: Eukaryota; Metazoa; Arthropoda; Branchiopoda; Diplostraca; Daphniidae.
CAAAAAGUAGUUUAGUUAAAGAAUCGAAGCUUUGGGAGUUUUGGGCGUAGAUUUCUACCUUUUUGA